RNAcentral lists this long non-coding RNA (639 nucleotides) under Capsicum annuum. RNAcentral describes it as "long non-coding RNA (CANN_LNC004384)". Lineage: Eukaryota; Viridiplantae; Streptophyta; Magnoliopsida; Solanales; Solanaceae. The record is from RNAcentral.
UCCGAAAUUACAAUAUCGAAAGUUGCAGCACAUUACACCAUGCUACUAAAGAGGAGAAAGAAGCAUAUGUAAAUACACUGGCAUAUAUAUUCAGUAUGACAUGCAUCAAGUACAAAUUGGAACGCUAAAAACUUUGAAAGGCAAUUUGAAAUCGAAAGUUAGAUUGACUUUGAACAAAUAUUUUCCUCCUCCGCCGGUGGACAUCAUUUUUGUAUGAGAGUGCAACAUCACUAUUAUUCUUGGUGCUAGUGUUACUGCAAAAAAUAUCAAUGAGAAUUUUUUGAGAUUCAAAUGUAUGAAUAAAUAAUAAAUUUCUUGAGAAAAAUAAGCAUAAAAAAUAAAUAUACCACAUCAAAGUUAUAAGAAAAAUCUCACCACCAACAAUUAAAAUUAGAGGAAAAUUGAUAAAACUCAUUCCUUUGUAUUUAUUUUGAUCAAAAAUUAAAUGGACAAAAUCAUAAUAGAGAAUAUUACUUACUUGAAUUCAAGCUAGACAAAUAGAUUAGUGUGUAAUAUCACCAUCAUUCAUCUUCACAUAAAAGGUGAAAUUGUUAAAACAAAAAAAAUCUAAAAAAUACAGAAUAUGAGGAAUGCACUAAAUAAAUUCAUGAAUAAAACUAAUGAUCAAUAAUAAAUAAU